UAAGACGAACCGUGCGAACGUUAUUCGGAAUCACUGGGCUUAAAGCGCGUGUAGGCGGGGUGGCACGUCGGAUGCUGAAAGCCCCCGGCUCAACCGGGGAAGGGGCACCGAUACGACCGCCCUCGAGGGGCGUAGGGGGAGCUGGAACUUCCGGUGGAGCGGUGAAAUGCGUUGAGAUCGGAAGGAACGCCCGUGGCGAAAGCGAGCUCCUGGACGCCAACUGACGCUGAGACGCGAAAGCCAGGGGAGCGAACGGG
This 257-nucleotide ribosomal RNA is filed under the name uncultured archaeon. RNAcentral describes it as "partial 16S ribosomal RNA". It matches the Rfam family "Bacterial small subunit ribosomal RNA", at positions 521 to 776 of the family's 1533-position model. The record is from RNAcentral.